Molecule: non-coding RNA, 345 nt
Organism: Miniopterus natalensis
Lineage: Eukaryota; Metazoa; Chordata; Mammalia; Chiroptera; Miniopteridae
Source: RefSeq, a predicted model, not a curated record
CAACCAACUGAGCCACACCAGCCAGGCCCUUUGACAACACUCUCUAGUACUCUACACCAGCAGAGAAACUGAAUUCUAUUAGUCUUUAUAAAACAAGGAACACAGACCUCUACUGAAAUAUGCUUUUGCUUUGCUGGCCAGAAACCAAAUAUUUCUAAAGAGCUAGGUUUGGCAUAUCUACUUUCAUGGGACCACCUGGAUACAGUCAAGUUCUGUGAUGUGGGAGCUUUUUCUCAUGAAAGCAACUUGUGUUAGAAACUUCCAGAUAAAUUCAGAGAAAUCUCCUGACCACUGAAAGGACAAACAGUUGUUCCUUAAUCGGCAGGAGAAGAAAGGAAUUCUGCC